GACGUAGGGUGCGAGCGUUGUCCGGAUUUAUUGGGCGUAAAGAGCUCGUAGGCGGCUCGUCGCGUCGACCGUGAAAACCCGCAGCUUAACUGCGGGCUUGCGGUUGAUACGGGCGGGCUAGAGUUCGGUAGGGGAGACUGGAAUUCCUGGUGUAGCGGUGAAAUGCGCAGAUAUCAGGAGGAACACCGGUGGCGAAGGCGGGUCUCUGGGCCGGUACUGACGCUAAGGCGCGAAAGCGUGGGGAGCGAACAGG
This 253-nucleotide ribosomal RNA is filed under the name uncultured bacterium. Its description in RNAcentral is "partial 16S ribosomal RNA". It matches the Rfam family "Bacterial small subunit ribosomal RNA", at positions 524 to 776 of the family's 1533-position model. The record is from RNAcentral.